UACGUAGGUCCCGAGCGUUGUCCGGAUUUAUUGGGCGUAAAGCGAGCGCAGGUGGUUUAUUAAGUCUGGGGUAAAAGGCAGUGGCUCAACCAUUGUAUGCAUUGGAAACUGGUAGACUUGAGUGCAGGAGAGGAGAGUGGAAUUCCAUGUGUAGCGGUGAAAUGCGUAGAUAUAUGGAGGAACACCGGUGGCGAAAGCGGCUCUCUGGCCUGUAACUGACACUGAGGCUCGAAAGCGUGGGGAGCAAACAGG
Molecule: ribosomal RNA, 252 nt
Filed under: uncultured bacterium
Lineage: Bacteria
Description: partial 16S ribosomal RNA
Rfam family: Bacterial small subunit ribosomal RNA
Source: RNAcentral